CUUUUCUUGUUAGUUUUUGAAGUAUGGCCUGCCCGCUGACUUGAGUGUUGAAGGGCCGCGGUAUUUUGACCGUGCAAAGGUAGCAUAAUCAUUAGUUCUUUAAUUGUGAUCUGGAAUGAAUGGCUUGACGAGGCACAAGCUGUCUUAAUGUUGAAUGUUUUAUUGAAUUUGGUUUUUGAGUUAAAAUUCUUAGAUGUUUUUGUGGGACGAGAAGACCCUAUAGAGUUUAACAUUUGGUUUAUUUGUUUGUUUGUUGUUUGUUUGUUUUAUUGGUGAGUGGACUUUUUGUUUUGUUGGGGUGAUGGGAGGAAUAUAAUUAACUCCUCUUGAUUUUGGUUAUAUUGAUUUAUAUUUAUUU
This 358-nucleotide ribosomal RNA is filed under the name Coptotermes formosanus (Formosan subterranean termite). RNAcentral's name for it is "partial large subunit ribosomal RNA". Lineage: Eukaryota; Metazoa; Arthropoda; Insecta; Blattodea; Rhinotermitidae. The record is from RNAcentral.